Molecule: ribosomal RNA, 422 nt
Filed under: Fusobacteriota bacterium
Lineage: Bacteria; Fusobacteriati; Fusobacteriota
Description: Fusobacteria bacterium partial 16S ribosomal RNA
Rfam family: Bacterial small subunit ribosomal RNA
Source: RNAcentral
UGGGGGAUUUUGCACAAUGGGCGCAAGCCUGAUGCAGCGACGCCGCGUGAGGGAUGAAGGCCUUCGGGUUGUAAACCUCUUUCGCUGGGUUGAAAGGCCAUGCUUUGGGUGUGGUUGAUUUGAACUGGUAAAGAAGUACCGGCUAACUACGUGCCAGCAGCCGCGGUAAUACGUAGGGUACUAGCGUUGUCCGGAUUUAUUGGGCGUAAAGGGCUUGUAGGUGGUUUGUUGCGUCUGUCGUGAAAUCCUGUGGCUUAACCAUGGGCUUGCGGUGGGUACGGGCAGGCUUGAGUGCGGUAGGGGAGACUGGAAUUCCUGGUGUAGCGGUGGAAUGCGCAGAUAUCAGGAGGAACACCGGUGGCGAAGGCGGGUCUCUGGGCCGUUACUGACACUGAGGAGCGAAAGCGUGGGGAGCGAACAGG